AGAGUUUGAUCCUGGCUCAGAGCGAACGCUGGCGGAAUGCUUAACACAUGCAAGUCGCACGCCCCGCAAGGGGAGUGGCGGACGGGUGAGGAACGCGUAGGAACGUGUCCUGUGGUGGGGGAUAACGCUGGGAAACUGGCGCUAAUACCGCAUAUGGCCUGAGGGUCAAAGCCGCGAGGUGCCAUGGGAGCGGCCUGCGUCCGAUUAGCUUGUUGGUUGGGUAAUGGCUGACCAAGGCGAUGAUCGGUAGCUGGUCUGAGAGGAUGAUCAGCCACACUGGGACUGAGACACGGCCCAGACUCCUACGGGAGGCAGCAGUGGGGAAUAUUGGACAAUGGGCGCAAGCCUGAUCCAGCAAUUCCGCGUGGGUGAAGAAGGUCUUCGGAUUGUAAAGCCCUUUCGGCGGGGACGAUGAUGACGGUACCCGCAGAAGAAGCCCCGGCUAACUUCGUGCCAGCAGCCGCGGUAAUACGAAGGGGGCUAGCGUUGCUCGGAAUGACUGGGCGUAAAGGGCGCGUAGGCGGCACACACAGUCAGGCGUGAAAUUCCUGGGCUUAACCUGGGGGCUGCGUUUGAGACGUGUGGGCUAGAGGAUGGAAGAGGCUCGUGGAAUUCCCAGUGUAGAGGUGAAAUUCGUAGAUAUUGGGAAGAACACCGGUGGCGAAGGCGGCGAGCUGGUCCAUUACUGACGCUGAGGCGCGAAAGCGUGNNNAGCAAACAGGAUUAGAUACCCUAGUAGUCC
RNAcentral lists this ribosomal RNA (742 nucleotides) under uncultured bacterium. RNAcentral's name for it is "bacterial SSU rRNA". It matches the Rfam family "Bacterial small subunit ribosomal RNA", at positions 8 to 796 of the family's 1533-position model. The record is from RNAcentral.